UGGGUCCAGCAGUGGUGCCGGGUGGAGCUUCGGGGGUCUGAUCAAAACCCUAUCAACGAAAUCCGAAUCCGUCAUUGAAAUCUACCGUCGCGAUCUGAAGGAAUUUGGGUCGGGUCUUAAGAAGGAGAUCGAGGUGGCACAUGGAUCUUUAGAGACCGUGGGGCACGCCAUUGACGAGGUUGGUAGUUCCGUGUUGAAAAAUACGGUCCAGAUCAUUUCACAGGGCAAAGAGGCAAUCCUUGCCGCCG
This 248-nucleotide unclassified non-coding RNA is filed under the name Hevea brasiliensis (rubber tree). The record is from RNAcentral. Lineage: Eukaryota; Viridiplantae; Streptophyta; Magnoliopsida; Malpighiales; Euphorbiaceae.